AUUGAACGCUGGCGGCAGGCUUAACACAUGCAAGUCGAGCGGUAACAGAGAGAAGCUUGCUUCUCUGCUGACGAGCGGCGGACGGGUGAGUAAUGCCUAGGAAUCUGCCUAGUAGUGGGGGAUAACUUGCCGAAAGGUAAGCUAAUACCGCAUACGUCCUACGGGAGAAAGGAGGGGACCUUCGGGCCUUUCGCUAUUAGAUGAGCCUAGGUCGGAUUAGUUAGUUGGUGAGGUAAUGGCUCCCCAAGACCGCGAUCCGUAACUGGUCUGGGUGGAGGAUGAGUCACACGGGAACUGAGACACGGUCCAGACUCCUACGGGAGGCAGCAGUGGGGGAUAGUGGACAAUGGGGGGAACCCUGAUCCAGCCAUGCCGCGUGUGUGAAGAAGGUCUUAGGAUUGUAAAGCACUUUAAGUUGGGAGGAAGAGCAGUUAACUAAUAUUUGACUGUUUUGACGUUACCGACAGAAUAAGCACCGGCUAACUUCGUGCCAGCCGCCGCCGUAA
RNAcentral lists this ribosomal RNA (506 nucleotides) under uncultured bacterium. RNAcentral describes it as "partial 16S ribosomal RNA". It matches the Rfam family "Bacterial small subunit ribosomal RNA", at positions 30 to 523 of the family's 1533-position model. The record is from RNAcentral.